Molecule: long non-coding RNA, 672 nt
Filed under: Lynx pardinus (Iberian lynx)
Lineage: Eukaryota; Metazoa; Chordata; Mammalia; Carnivora; Felidae
Source: RNAcentral
UAUGUUAACUUUGAAAAGUGUUCCUUUAAGUGAAAACGGACUCUGCUUUUAGACGUUUGGACUUCCCUCCCCAGCCCUAGGUACUGAUUGUUGGGGCAGAGUGACAUUUUCCUACAAUGCUGGCUCAUUAUUUUGCUUCUGGAAUUGCAAAUGCAAGGAUCGAAUGGCAUGGUCUGAAUACAUCAAGGAGCGGAGGGGAUCUCACCAGAGGUGCCCCGAAACAAAGGAAACAAAUCACUUCAAAACCACAUCAUGCAAUCUGGACCCGUUACAGGACAGAUGGAACUCUGAAUUGUUUGAUUCUAUCAGCAGAACAGAGGAAGGAAAUGUUUUAAAAUGAGAUUAUGUUAUUUUCCCCAGUUCUUAUUAUGAAACCUUCCUGCAAUGAACUUUAAAUACCAGCAGCCCCUUUCAUGGGGAUGAAUGGGAUCCAGCCGGCAGGAGGAUUGCAGGGAAGUGGUUCCAUUAUGAAAAAUGUGGAGAGGUAGAGGUUGAGAUGAAUAGUGGAUCCCUGUGGGGUCCUUAGGCUCAGUGAAAAAUCAGGCUCUAAAACACAGCUGCGCGUCUUAGGAAGGGAUGGGUGUCUUUGAAAAAGCUAUGUGCCCCAUGUAAACAUCAAUUAAGGGGUCCUUUUCAAAAGACCUCAAUUGUAAUGAAUAAAAAGUCUUCCGC